Molecule: ribosomal RNA, 497 nt
Filed under: uncultured bacterium
Lineage: Bacteria
Description: partial 16S ribosomal RNA
Rfam family: Bacterial small subunit ribosomal RNA
Source: RNAcentral
GAUGAACGCUGGCGGCGUGCCUAAUACAUGCAAGUCGAGCGAACAGAUGAGGAGCUUGCUCCUCUGACGUUAGCGGCGGACGGGUGAGUAACGCGUGGAUAACCUACCUAUAAGACUGGGAUAACUUCGGGAAACCGGAGCUAAUACCGGAUAAUAUAUUGAACCGCAUGGUUCAAUAGUGAAAGACGGUUUUGCUGUCACUUAUAGAUGGAUCCGCGCCGCAUUAGCUAGUUGGUAAGGUAACGGCUUACCAAGGCAACGAUGCGUAGCCGACCUGAGAGGGUGAUCGGCCGCACUGGAACUGAGACACGGUCCAGACUCCUACGGGAGGCAGCAGUAGGGAAUCUUCCGCGAUGGGCGAAAGCCUGACGGAGCAACGCCGCGUGAGUGAUGAAGGUCUUCGGAUCGUAAAACUCUGUUAUUAGGGAAGAACAAAUGUGUAAGUAACUAUGCACGUCUUGACGGUACCUAAUCAGAAAGCCCCGGCUAACUACGUG